Molecule: long non-coding RNA, 2632 nt
Organism: Xenopus tropicalis (tropical clawed frog)
Lineage: Eukaryota; Metazoa; Chordata; Amphibia; Anura; Pipidae
Exons: 2
Source: RefSeq, a predicted model, not a curated record
GUUGUAGUUUUGUCCUUCUGGACUUGUCGCCGUCACGUGACCUGCCGACCUGAGCUAACCUUGCUGGAGUGUAAGUGUCCGCUAAGACAGAAAAAAUAUGUAUGUACGGGAGAACGUAACUACGGUACUUCAAGAAGCAGACCAAGAAUUGAAGAGUAAGAAUUGAAUUUAGAAUUUGUUGGGCAAUACCAAACCGUUAGACAUCAGUUCAGUGGCACAGAUCCAACAUUCUACUCAUGCCGUCACCCAGCAUGUCUUCACCCAAGCUACUAGAGCAGUGUGUAUACAGCAGUAUGACAUCAUAUAUCUCUUCACUCAUUUUCUUCUAGAUCCUCCACCAUCCACUGUAUGGUUUCUGUCUUUAUUAUUGUAUAGACACAGCUAUCACUAAAGUAGCCAAUUCUAUGCUUGCUGUUACUUCCAGAGUACUUAGUAUUUUCUUGUUUCUGCUUUUUCCAACAAUACUGAUCCCACAUAUCUAGUCCACCUCCUUAUUUUGUUGCAAUGAAUGCUACGGUCACACACCUACACUCCAUGCUCCUUUUUUUUCCCAGCACAGGUUAUUAGCGUUUGCUCUGGCAAUGAUAAAUUACAUUUAAUGACAAUAAAAUAGAUUUAAAAUCUUUAAAAGCUCACCUUUUCCUCUUUACACUUAAGGACCCCAUUUACAGGACUUCUCUUGCACUAGACUCAUUCUUUAGAUUUCCCUUCACACAUCCCAAGAGACUGUGUUGUCUUGAAAUAUGUUAACAUGCCAUUGAUACAUAUUCAAGCAAAGUAGGUUUUCAGCCCAGGACACAAAACAGAGAAGGGCAGCAUAUAGUAAUAAACUUUGUUUUGACAGCUCAGAAUAAGCAUGGCAGAACUUGACAAACAACUGUCCCAUAUUAAUGUUGGUAAUACCGAUUCCUUUUUAAAAUAAUGUUGUAUAUGGUGGAGAAAGGAUCUGGUGACCACUACCACAAUUUGAGUGAUACAUUUUCUGUUAAUUCAAAAACAGCCUCUGUUCUUUAAUUGCUAAUGCUUCUGUGCUUUAUAGAAUUACUUUUGCCCAGCUACCACUCAUCCACUCAUGCAGAUGAGCUAUGUAGGCAUUUAUUAUUGAUGCUGGGUCUCUGGAGCCUGGUUUAUAGGACAGUUUUAGUUGACUGCUGUCUGUAUAACAGUGACAGGAGGAAAGGGAAGUAUUUAAAUAGCACUUUUCUCCAAUAAGACUGAAAGCACUUUACAGGGUUUACAUCAAUUAAGCCAGUUAUCAUAUUAAUGAUAAGUAUACCAGGACACCAGUAAAUUUAAUGACUUUUCCACUGAGGAAGGGAUUUGCUAUUAGGGGUUCAGACAAGAGGCCCAGUUGAUAUACAUUCUUCAAGGUAGCUUAUAGAACUGGGGAAAAUGUGUCUUCACAUGAUGCUUUAGGCAUAUUCACACAGCCUGCUGUGGGAACAUUGGAGCAAGGUAUUGAGAGCUUCAGGGUUCUGUGUAAAUUGAUAGACUUGUAAUUUGGAACAGGAGAUGUACACGCUACCACUGUGUAAGGAAGUGCAAUUAUGGACAAGAGUACCUUUAAUGAAUGCCAUCCAAUUGGACAACAACUGGCCAGAUUUCAACAACCUCGAUAGAGGCUGCAGCCAUAAUUGAGCCUCUGUGUCUCUGACAACAGGGUGUAAAAGGACUUGGUUUAAAGCUGCUUCAUAAUUAACUAAGAAAGAAAGGUACCUUGUAAAAAGAAAAUAUAUCUAACUGAUUGAAAAUUGCAAAUCAAAACUUAAUAAAUUCGCCCCUUUUAUUUAUUUAAAAUACAAGAGGACUGCUAGUAGGGUCAGUAGAAAUAAAAUACUGUACUGUGGUGCAUAUUCUCCUUACACUGUCUUACACACACACAAGCCUACCAGUGAAAUAGACUUUACAUGUCCUUAAAGGGGAAAUAAUAAGUAGGGCAGGUUAAAAGGGAGCUGAGAUGGAAUAGGAGGCAGGCCAGGGGCUGAGGACAAGUUAUUACAAAUUUACUGGCAACUACGUUGCCUUGUAAUUCUGGCCCGGCCCUGGCUGGCAUUUUAACGGCUAGGUCGGGGCCGGGUGGCAACCCUAACUGCUAGUGACACAAGCAAUUUUCUUUUUACUGUUCUAUAAAUAUUAUCUUAUCAAUUGCAGGUGAAACAAUGGGGACAUCUUUUUGCUGAGCUUUGUUAAACUGUAGCUUCACUUAGAUAACCUGCCCCCAAGUCACAAUUUUUCUUGAGAUGGCACAAGCCAUAGAUUGCAUAUGACCCAAAAGAGUAAAUAGCAUAUAGCAGCACUGUCCUAGUGUUGCCACAUGGCAGGGUAAUUGUCUAAAAUAUUAUGUUUCUUUUCCUUACUGUAUAUUAAAGUGAUGCUAUGAAGCUACAUGCUAUGAAAUGCUACAUUUAGCUUUGCUGUAUUUAUAGCUCAAUGUAGCAUCAUGUUUUUGUUUAUUAAUCAACCAACCUUUUUGUACUGUUUUUAAAAAUCAAUAGAAAUAAAAUACUUUACUGUCUUACACACACACACAGAAGCCUAUUCACUGACUUUACAAACUCAGUUUGGUCUAAAAAUAUAAAAAUGACUUGCAUAUUUAUUAUACGAUACAAAUAAAGGAUAAUUAUUAUAAUAA